Molecule: small nucleolar RNA, 65 nt
Filed under: Nannospalax galili (Upper Galilee mountains blind mole rat)
Lineage: Eukaryota; Metazoa; Chordata; Mammalia; Rodentia; Spalacidae
Description: Small nucleolar RNA SNORA73 family (ENSNGAG00000006429.1)
Source: RNAcentral
GCCUGUAUAUUUCUAUGACUUCUCAGAGUCCUGUGGACAUUGAGUGAGGAAACAAACCAUGCAGG